RNAcentral lists this ribosomal RNA (253 nucleotides) under uncultured bacterium. Its description in RNAcentral is "partial 16S ribosomal RNA". It matches the Rfam family "Bacterial small subunit ribosomal RNA", at positions 524 to 776 of the family's 1533-position model. The record is from RNAcentral.
UACGUAGGGUGCAAGCGUUGUCCGGAAUUAUUGGGCGUAAAGAGCUCGUAGGCGGUUUGUCGCGUCGGCUGUGAAAACCUGGGGCUCAACCCCGGGCCUGCAGCCGAUACGGGCAAACUAGAAUUCGGUAGGGGAGACUGGAAUUCCUGGUGUAGCGGUGAAAUGCGCAGAUAUCAGGAGGAACACCGGUGGCGAAGGCGGGUCUCUGGGCCGAUAUUGACGCCGAGGAGCGAAAGCGUGGGGAGCGAACAGG